Molecule: ribosomal RNA, 465 nt
Filed under: uncultured Corynebacterium sp.
Lineage: Bacteria; Bacillati; Actinomycetota; Actinomycetes; Mycobacteriales; Corynebacteriaceae
Description: bacterial SSU rRNA
Rfam family: Bacterial small subunit ribosomal RNA
Source: RNAcentral
CCCGCACAAGCGGUGGAGCAUGUGGUUUAAUUCGAUGGUACGCGAGGAACCUUACCAGGGCUUGACAUGUGCCGGAAGCGCACCGAAAGGUGCGUGCCGCUUGCGGCCGGCGCACAGGUGCUGCAUGGCUGUCGUCAGCUCGUGCUGUGAAGUGUUGGGUUAAGUCCCGCAACGAGCGCAACCCUUGUCUUAUGUUGCCAGCACGUGAUGGUGGGGACUCAUGAGAGACUGCCGGGGUUAACUCGGAGGAAGGUGGGGAUGACGUCAAAUCAUCAUGCCCCUUAUGUCCAGGGCUUCACACAUGCUACAAUGGUCGGUACAACGCGUGUGCGACACUGUGAGGUGAAGCUAAUCGCUCUAAAGCCGGUCGUAGUUCGGAUUGGGGUCUGCAACUCGACCCCAUGAAGUCGGAGUCGCUAGUAAUCGCAGAUCAGCAACGCUGCGGUGAAUACGUUCCCGGGCCUU